GACGAACGCUGGCGGCGUGCUUAACACAUGCAAGUCGAACGAAGUGGCGAACGGGUGAGUACGCGUAAUCCACCUGCCUUUCAGAGGGGGACAACAGAUGGAAACGACUGCUAAUACCGCAUACUGAAGGAGGGGAUUGCGUCUGAUUGGCUAGUUGGAGGGGUAACGGCCCACCAAGGCGAUGAUCAGUAGCCGGGCUGGCAGGAUGGACGAGCACAUUGGGACUGGUGUACUGCCCACACUGCUUCGGGGGGCAGCAAUGGGGAAUCUGCCGCAAAUGGCGAAAAGCUGGCGGCAGAACGCCGGGGGGUUUAUGACGGCCUUCUGGUUUGUAAGCUCUGUUAAUCGGGGAGCGGUACCGGAAUAGAAAGCCACGGCUAACUACGUGCCAGCAGCCGCGGUAAUUC
RNAcentral lists this ribosomal RNA (407 nucleotides) under uncultured bacterium. RNAcentral describes it as "partial 16S ribosomal RNA". It matches the Rfam family "Bacterial small subunit ribosomal RNA", at positions 28 to 526 of the family's 1533-position model. The record is from RNAcentral.